UCGAGAAUCUUCGGCAAUGGGCGCAAGCCUGACCGAGCGACGCCGCGUGGAGGAUGAAGGCCUUCGGGUUGUAAACUCCUGUCGAGGGGGAAAAAGGACCGCAAGGUCUUGAUUGAUCCCUGGAGGAAGCACGGGCUAAGUUCGUGCCAGCAGCCGCGGUAAGACGAACCGUGCGAACGUUAUUCGGAAUCAUUGGGCUUAAAGCGCGUGUAGGCGGAUCCGUGCGUCUGUCGCUGAAAUCCCCCGGCUCAACCGGGGAACGGGCGUGGAUACGACGGGUCUGGAGGGGCGUAAGGGGACCUGGAACUUCCGGUGGAGCGGUGAAAUGCGUUGAGAUCGGAAGGAACGCCCGUGGCGAAAGCGAGGUCCUGGACGCCUACUGACGCUGAGACGCGAAAGCCAGGGGAGCGAACGGGAUUAGAUACCCCGGUAGUCCUGGCCGUAAACGAUGGGUACUGGAUAGGGGGCUCGCCGAUGGGCUCCCUGUCGUAGGGAAACCGUGAAGUACCCCGCCUGGGGAGUAUGGUCGCAAGGCUGAAACU
This 542-nucleotide ribosomal RNA is filed under the name uncultured Planctomycetota bacterium. Its description in RNAcentral is "bacterial SSU rRNA". It matches the Rfam family "Bacterial small subunit ribosomal RNA", at positions 355 to 901 of the family's 1533-position model. The record is from RNAcentral. Lineage: Bacteria; Pseudomonadati; Planctomycetota.